Molecule: transfer RNA, 73 nt
Organism: Capsaspora owczarzaki ATCC 30864
Lineage: Eukaryota; Filasterea; Ministeriida; Capsasporidae
Rfam family: tRNA
About the family: Transfer RNA (tRNA) molecules are approximately 80 nucleotides in length. Their secondary structure includes four short double-helical elements and three loops (D, anti-codon, and T loops). Further hydrogen bonds mediate the characteristic L-shaped molecular structure. tRNAs have two regions of fundamental functional importance: the anti-codon, which is responsible for specific mRNA codon recognition, and the 3' end, to which the tRNAs corresponding amino acid is attached (by aminoacyl-tRNA synthetases). tRNAs cope with the degeneracy of the genetic code in two manners: having more than one tRNA (with a specific anti-codon) for a particular amino acid; and 'wobble' base-pairing, i.e. permitting non-standard base-pairing at the 3rd anti-codon position.
Source: Rfam
GGGCGUCUAGCUCAUUUGGUAGAGCAUGUCGUUAACACCGACAAGGUACGGAGAUCGAAACUCUGGAUGCUCA